CACGCAGGGGGCGAGCGUUGUCCGGAUUUAUUGGGCGUAAAGAGCUCGUAGGCGGUUUGGCAAGUCGGGUGUGAAAUUUCGAGGCUCAACCUCGAAACGCCACUCGAUACUGCCAUGACUGGAGUCCGGUAGAGGAGUGCGGAAUUCCUGGUGUAGCGGUGAAAUGCGCAGAUAUCAGGAGGAACACCAACGGCGAAGGCAGCACUCUGGGCCGGUACUGACGCUGAGGAGCGAAAGCGUGGGGAGCAAACAGG
Molecule: ribosomal RNA, 254 nt
Filed under: uncultured bacterium
Lineage: Bacteria
Description: partial 16S ribosomal RNA
Rfam family: Bacterial small subunit ribosomal RNA
Source: RNAcentral